Molecule: small RNA, 265 nt
Filed under: Rhinopithecus bieti (black snub-nosed monkey)
Lineage: Eukaryota; Metazoa; Chordata; Mammalia; Primates; Cercopithecidae
Description: 7SK RNA (ENSRBIG00000000482.1)
Rfam family: 7SK RNA (bases 111-260)
About the family: 7SK was discovered as an abundant small nuclear RNA in the mid-70s but a possible function has only recently been suggested. Two independent studies have found that 7SK RNA binds the CDK9/cyclin T complex (known as elongation factor P-TEFb).
Source: RNAcentral
GAGGCGGAGCUUGCAGUGAGCUGAGAUCUGGCCGCUGCACUCCAGCCUGGGCGACAGAGCGAGACUCCGUCUCAAAAAAAAAUAAAAAAACCAUCCCCAGUAGAAGAGGGCCAAUGUUUGGUCAAGGAUAUAUAAGUAGUUACAUUCCCCUGCUAGAACCUCCAAACAAGCUCUCAAGGUCCGUUUGUAGGAAAAUGUUGGAUAGUCAAACUUCCAAGACUCCAGACACAUCCAAAUAAGGUGGCAGUCUGUUUUUUUUUUUUUU